This 453-nucleotide ribosomal RNA is filed under the name Pseudomonas sp. RNAcentral describes it as "bacterial SSU rRNA". It matches the Rfam family "Bacterial small subunit ribosomal RNA", at positions 56 to 505 of the family's 1533-position model. Lineage: Bacteria; Pseudomonadati; Pseudomonadota; Gammaproteobacteria; Pseudomonadales; Pseudomonadaceae. The record is from RNAcentral.
UGCAGUCGAGCGGUAGAGAGGUGCUUGCACCUCUUGAGAGCGGCGGACGGGUGAGUAAUGCCUAGGAAUCUGCCUGGUAGUGGGGGAUAACGUCCGGAAACGGACGCUAAUACCGCAUACGUCCUACGGGAGAAAGCAGGGGACCUUCGGGCCUUGCGCUAUCAGAUGAGCCUAGGUCGGAUUAGCUAGUUGGUGGGGUAAAGGCUCACCAAGGCGACGAUCCGUAACUGGUCUGAGAGGAUGAUCAGUCACACUGGAACUGAGACACGGUCCAGACUCCUACGGGAGGCAGCAGUGGGGAAUAUUGGACAAUGGGCGAAAGCCUGAUCCAGCCAUGCCGCGUGUGUGAAGAAGGUCUUCGGAUUGUAAAGCACUUUAAGUUGGGAGGAAGGGUCGUUACCUAAUACGUGACGAUUUUGACGUUACCGACAGAAUAAGCACCGGCUAACUCUG